UGGUCCUUUCAAAGGGGGCUUUGGAGACAGAAACCAUGACCUCUUAAUGCUGUGAUCUAAGAUUGAAGCCCCUCCCCCCCACCGAUUUCCCCCAGGAUGGCUACACA
RNAcentral lists this small nucleolar RNA (107 nucleotides) under Sorex araneus (European shrew). RNAcentral describes it as "Small nucleolar RNA SNORA25 (ENSSARG00000020075.1)". Lineage: Eukaryota; Metazoa; Chordata; Mammalia; Eulipotyphla; Soricidae. The record is from RNAcentral.